GUCACAGAGGCAGCUUGCUCCUUGGGUGACGAGUGGCGGACGGGUGAGUAAUGUCUGGGGAUCUGCCCGAUAGAGGGGGAUAACCACUGGAAACGGUGGCUAAUACCGCAUAACGUCGCAAGACCAAAGAGGGGGACCUUCGGGCCUCUCACUAUCGGAUGAACCCAGAUGGGAUUAGCUAGUAGGCGGGGUAAUGGCCCACCUAGGCGACGAUCCCUAGCUGGUCUGAGAGGAUGACCAGCCACACUGGAACUGAGACACGGUCCAGACUCCUACGGGAGGCAGCAGUGGGGAAUAUUGCACAAUGGGCGCAAGCCUGAUGCAGCCAUGCCGCGUGUAUGAAGAAGGCCUUCGGGUUGUAAAGUACUUUCAGCGGGGAGGAAGGCGACGCGGUUAAUAACCCUGUCGAUUGACGUUACCCGCAGAAGAAGCACCGGCUAACUCCGUGCCAGCAGCCGCGGUAAUACGGAGGGUGCAAGCGUUAAUCGGAAUUACUGGGCGUAAAGCGCACGCAGGCGGUCUGUUAAGUCAGAUGUG
This 537-nucleotide ribosomal RNA is filed under the name uncultured Erwinia sp. RNAcentral describes it as "bacterial SSU rRNA". It matches the Rfam family "Bacterial small subunit ribosomal RNA", at positions 69 to 596 of the family's 1533-position model. The record is from RNAcentral. Lineage: Bacteria; Pseudomonadati; Pseudomonadota; Gammaproteobacteria; Enterobacterales; Erwiniaceae.